RNAcentral lists this ribosomal RNA (469 nucleotides) under uncultured Myxococcales bacterium. Its description in RNAcentral is "bacterial SSU rRNA". It matches the Rfam family "Bacterial small subunit ribosomal RNA", at positions 336 to 798 of the family's 1533-position model. The record is from RNAcentral. Lineage: Bacteria; Pseudomonadati; Myxococcota; Myxococcia; Myxococcales.
UUCCUACGGGUGGCAGCAGUGGGGAAUCUUGCGCAAUGGGCGAAAGCCUGACGCAGCGACGCCGCGUGAGUGAUGAAGGCCUUCGGGUUGUAAAGCUCUGUGGGGAGAGAAGAAUUAGUGCAGCCUAAUACGUUGCAUGAUGACGGUAUCUCCUUAGCAAGCACCGGCUAACUCUGUGCCAGCAGCCGCGGUAAGACAGAGGGUGCAAACGUUGUUCGGAAUUACUGGGCGUAAAGCGAGUGUAGGCGGUCUCAUAAGUCCGGUGUGAAAGCCCCGGGCUCAACCCGGGAAGUGCACUUGAAACUGCGAGGCUAGAGUAUCGGAGAGGUUGGUGGAAUUCUCGGUGUAGAGGUGAAAUUCGUAGAUAUCGAGAGGAACACCGGUGGCGAAGGCGGCCAACUGGACGAAUACUGACGCUGAGACUCGAAAGCGUGGGGAGCAAACAGGAUUAGAUACCCGGGUAGUCAAU